CAGGAAGUGGCUGUGAGGAAGCCCACACUUGUUCCAGUUCAUCUAUCACAAGAAGAGUUAUUCUGGAGUGAAUGAAUGCAACCUAAGGGAUGCAGAAAUUUUGAAAGAUCAGAAUCUGAGCACGCAUGUGCUCACAGAGGCCGGCAAGAAAUGCACGUUAAUAGCAGCUUCUUCCCUGAGGAAGGUUUUGAACUGGAGUACUUGAGAAGAAACUUACAACAGAGCAGCCUAGAGUGCCACCCCGUCCCUUUUAAUUAGCACACAUGAAUAGUAUUUAAUGUAAAAUAUCUAUCAACAUUUGUCUAUGAAGACAAAAAACCUGGAAGCCAAUGUCCGGAACUGUUUUCUCCUGACUAGAACACUUCAGCCCAGUCCUUCAGCACUUUGAAUAUACAACAGAGAUUUUUGUGCUUGGAAGAAAAGGAGAAAGAAAAUAAUGAAUUGGGGAACAAAGUCUGCAAUCACCAUACAGGUUAAGGGAUAUAUGGCCACAACCAAUCUGGUCUUCCUUUGGCCAAAAGUGUUGCACCUCUUCAGCCAGAAUGGCAGUGAGACUGCUGAACCCGUCCAGGGCUGACACCAGGAUUGUGUGAGCCUUAGAGGAACAGGCAAGGAAAUGCAAGAUAGACUGAGGACUUUGCACAUCAGGGUUCUCAAGACAGCAGCUGAGAACGUCGCUGUGAUUCCCAGAAGAAGGGAGAGGAUCGUCCCAAAUAGAUUUUGGAGGAUAGAAAAGGCUAAAAACUAGCAUUGUGCGGAGAUAUAUUUCUUGAGGAAGGUUGAGAGGCAUGAUCUGGCCCAGGAGCUUCACCAGAAUUGAUGGGAAAGAUUUUCAAACGCAUAAAGGGGAGUUAGGCAUCUGGUUCCUAUUGACAUUCAUACCCUUUAAUGCCAGGGUUUCUUCCUUUUAUACAUUUGUAUCAUUCUGUCUAUUGUGUAUAAUCAGGAUUAUUUAAAAAAAAAAUAAGUAGAAGAGACACCCGAGGGCUCCAAGGCUUGAAACCAGGUGUGAAAAAUAGAUAUCCUGCUUGACAUUGGACCAGAAUAAAUUUAUUCUCUAUUGAUUUCUGGAUUCAGAGGCCUGAUCUUCCUCAUUCAGUUCUCCCACAUAAAUGGGAGCUAAUAUUCCUCUUCUGCAUAAAAAAUGAAAUUAAAGUAUUAAUCAAAAUCAUAUAAAUGAGGCAAAAACUCAACCCUGCCCUUGUGCCUAACUAAUUAUUUUGAACAGCUCUGGUCUGUUCACCUCUGUGCUGAGUUGGUAAUGUAUCCCCCUUCGGUCGAUUCAAGAUCUCUAGCAACACCUAUGGGAGAAUCUUUAAUUAAUCCUCUGUUACUGUUGUAAUUGCAGUAUCCUGAGGGAAAGGCUGAGUAGCCAGGAAUAUUAUUUUAAACAUAUACUGUAAACAACAUUUGUCCUCGGGAGAGUUCAGUUAAUACAACAGUUUUGACCCUUUCACUGCUGGGUGUUUAACAGUUUAUUUUCCUAAACCAAUAAAAAGGGCUUAUUUCCUUUCAUGUGGUCUUAUUUAGACUUCAUGCUAAAAAAAACACAACUGAGUGCAAUUACAUAUGAACCCACCCAAUAAAAUAAUUGCUUACAGGUUGCUUAAAGUAUUUCCAUCUAAAUGAAGAAAGCCCUGACAUUUCACUCCCUUCCACCCUACUGUCUCAUUAUUAAAUGCAGGUCUCUGUGAAAACAGAUUUCUCUGACAGUGGCAUAAUCUCUAACUCUGCAGUGUCCUUUAUAUUUGCUGUAAACAAGAUCUGCUCAUUUUGCUUAUUUCUCUUAGACAAUCUAUAUAAAAGCAGCAUUAUCCAGUGGAUGGAGCAAGGGAACAAGGAUUCCUGUAUCCUGUUUCCAGGUCUGGCCAGAGUGAGCUGUACUGUGCCAUGGACUCACUAUGUGUUAUUGGUUUCUGCGGCUGUGGUGAAUUAUCGCAAACUUCAUAAGUGGAAUGGAUGUCUCACAUACGUGUCUCAGGGAAGAGUCACUAGAUGUAGCUGUCCAGAGAACUGAACUGCUAGCUAAGAACCUGUCUUCACUGUUUUUGUAUUUGGUUCAUGAUAGUUUCCUUUGAAAGGGUUACACAAAACAUGGCUCAGUUAUACCCAUAUAGCAGCUUUUUUCACAACACAGUCAUCGGUCAGGUAUGUACCUCUGUUCACACUUACCAUGCUGCUAGCAACCAUGGUGUAUGUGAAUACGAAUCAUGUUUCCAGUUAAUCAUGCCAUUAACGAGGUUCAAGCUCAUUUACAUAUUGUAGUCUAGGUAGGGUCUAUAAAGAUUGAUAGUUGGAGAUGAAGGAGGGUAGGAGGAAUUCCAGAAUAAAAAAUAAAUCCUGAGGUGUCUGCAGGCUAAACAGACACAGAGUCUCAAAAAAAGGAAUGGACUGGAAUAAAAAUUCAAAACAAUGUUUAAGAUAAAUAUUUAUAAUAUCACAGAAAACACUCCGUAGCAUAUUCAAGUUUAGAUUUUAAAGUCUCUGAUCAAGGUCCAUUUGUUCUUCCUUUUUCACCUUCCUGUAUUCAAAAAUCUCUUACCAGCUAAUUAAGCAGAGAAAGACAGAGAAAGAUCUAGUUCUUUAAACACCUGAAAGGUAUAAGUAACAAAGAUCAGGAGUUUAAACAUAAAGAGACUAAUGUAUUAACCUAGCUUCUGUUUAUGUACAGAUAAAGAAGAGGCCAGUUUCCAGUUGUUUAAGGUUCAAGUAAACGGGGUCUUCCGGAACCCUCAUCAUCUAUGUGUCUGAUGGAUCACAGAGGCUCAUUUUAGUUGGGUUUUUGGUUUGAGAAAGGAUUAAUAUAUUUUUCAGUCUUUAUAAUAUGCUGGAAUUUGUGUAAGAUUCUUCCCUAUUUAAGACUGUAUAAAAAUCAUCCUCUCUUUUCCUAUCCAGAGCGCACACACACAAAAAUAGGAUACACAUAAAAUCUCAGGUUUUAGACUUCGUAAAAUACUUCUAUCUAAAUGCAGAUUUCUGGGAAAAUGUCCUAGAAAAUUUACACCCAGCAUGCAAAUCUGUGCUACAUGGAGAAUUUCCAGUAGGAGCUUUUUAAAAAAGAAUGAGACAUUCAUUAUGUUUUGAUUUGAGUGCCCAAGAGAAGUGAGAAAUAUCCUGUUCUCUAGUUAUCCAGGGCUCAGGUUCAUUGCAACCAGCAUUAUGCUUUUCUAUGCUAACUUUGGUUUAGAUAUAAAUUAGUUUCAUUCUUAUCACAAGGAUAAUUCAGCUUCCAUACUUACCACCAUACUAAAAGAAACAACCCCAGAGCUAUUAGUCAUAAAAAAGUUCUAGUAAAAGAUCAUCCGGGAUGUAACUCUAUUGACUUCAAUGGAGUUACACUAGGUUUGCAGUUGAGCCAGUAUACUUUAAUAUUUAAUAUUAACCGGUCUUGACAUACUCUUUAGUUCUUUAAAAAGCUACAUUUUCGGGUGACAGAACAAGAUAUGGCAAUUUUUAAAACCAUUGGCUGCAUGGCAUGCUUAUUGUCAUGGUAUUACCCAGAAUGCCUUUCCUGAUGAUAACUGUUUCGUAGGUCUGCAGCUUUGAGUUGCCAGUAUGUGAAUACAGCACCUUCUUCAGUUUGAGUGCUUUAAAAGCACAAUUUGUGGGAAGCUUGCAUUACUUUUAUUCCUCACUAAUGUAUUUAGAUGUUGUCUAUUGGUCUGAACAUGAGCAUGGGAACAAGAAAUGUCUUGAAUUCCUUGUCCAGCUCUCAGAUCUAUGAUUUAUUUAUUUAGAAAAUCCAAAGCUCACAGUCACCCGUCACAACCUCUCAUCGUGAUGACAGCUUAAUUUCAAGAGGCUGCUCUUGCCAAUGUAAAAUGCACAUAUGCCAGGUGAUAGCAUAAUCCACCUCUGCAAAACAGCAUAACCUGGUCUCCAUGCUCAAAUCCUUCCCUAUGUCCCCCCAAAAAUGUCUGAGAGAAAAAGAUGGACCUUGAAGCAUUCUCAGAAGUUAACAAGCGCAGCUUCUGGAUGGAGAACAUAUUCCAAAAAUGAGGCAUCCCCAUGAAGAAUGUUCUCAAAGGUAUCUUUGAUGUUCUUCAGUGAUUGGCCUUAUGGGCCUGUUUACUCUGUAUAAAUAUUUUGAACCAAUUAUAAAAUUGGUUCAGCUAAACUGACUUUAGGGAACCAUAGUUCAGAGGUGGUUUAAGGUGGCCUGACCCAUUGUAACUUAGCUGAUCUCAUGCACACCUCAACGUCACCUUAAAUCUAGGUCAACAGUACACACUAAGCAGUUUUAAAAUCAGUUUGCCUGAAUCAGUUUUGUAAUGAUUACAAAAUGACUGUAGCAUACGCAGGCCCAUCAAGGUUAGCAACCAGCACCGACACCAUGAAAUAUGCCUUAGGGUACGUCUACACUACAAGACUAUUUCGAUUCAUCUUAAUUCGAAUUUCUGGAAUCGACCUAAUGAAGUCGAAGUUGUGUAUCCACAAUAAAUACACUAAUUCGACUGUGUGAG
Mauremys mutica (yellowpond turtle) is the source of this 4463-nucleotide long non-coding RNA. RefSeq lists it as uncharacterized. The transcript is spliced from 12 exons. The record is from RefSeq and is a predicted model, not a curated record. Lineage: Eukaryota; Metazoa; Chordata; Testudines; Geoemydidae.